GUUGUAGUUCAUUAUGUGGUGAUUGUUUAAGCAAAAAUAUUUAUUAACACCUCAACAUCACCAUCUGUCUGUAAUGUAUAUUAUAAUUUUAUUGUGUAUUUUUUUGUGUUGUUUUUACAUUUUUUUUUAUUUGCUGAUUAAUGUGACAAUUCCUGCUAUAGCUAAGUGGUGUUAAGAACCAGGAUGGCUGGUGUCUUCCUCUGGCGUGACUUUGGUGACCCAGAAGACGAGCACUUAAAUGCUGUGGUUAAAAUAGGAGAAAAGCUUGAUAUGGAUCAGUAACAGUAUUUUUUUUUAACUUAACAUGUUGUAAUUAUAUCAUGAACUCUGGACUAUUUCACGGAUCCUUACAUGCAUGUUUGCUCCUUCAUCUGCAGACUCCGAAGGACUGACCUGUGCAGCACAUAUAUGCUACGUGAAUGCAAACAUGUCAGGGAUCCCGCUUUGAUCUCAUUGGGUGUGACAGAUCUACAAGUCCUGUCAGCAAGCUGGCUGAGUCUGGCCUUUUUGAUCAAGCCUUUGAUUAUUGCAAGACCAUCUCUAGUGCAAUUGCCACUUGCCCUCGCGAAAUCACAGAGACCACGAUAGAACUGACUAUUGCGCUUUUGUAGUUUGAGAGACUACACCAAGGGAAGAAUCUUCAUCAGCUGCACACAGACAAAGUGUUUGAGCUGAAGGACUCAGAAUGUGGCCUUAUGACUAGUGAGAUGUUCGCUCUCCAGCUUCCACAUCUGGAAUGCCACACUACACCAUGGGGUUGCCACAGUCUGAUAUGUUGGUGUCUGGGCCAGGACCCUGAAUCUCGGCCAAGCUUCGAAGAAAUCCUCAGCCAUGAAAGGUUUAAAAGUCUUCAGAACUAAGUCCAGGAACCACCGAAUGCACCUCACUCCUGUGAUGCACAAGACAGAUGUGAAACAGAUGUGAAGACAGCAGUACUUCUAAUAGGACCACAGAUAGCUAGAAGUUGACAUGGAUGGACCCACAUGGAUAUCCUAAACAUUGCUCUUACCAUAUAAAUCUACAGAAUCGGUGACUUCAUUUCUUCAAUUGAUACAAACAGUUUUCCUACGAUGGCUCAGGACUACAAUUCCCACAGUUUUCACAAUUCCCCCCCAACAGUUUUGCCCUCAAGUCUCCAUCAGUGAACAGUUGAAAAAUAGACUCCAUGUUAAAACUAUAAUGAACUACCUGGUUACGCAACUGCACUUUUUGACCAUAUAGUAUACUGUUAUAGAAUAUCACACUAUCUGCUGUGACCCAGAUGAGGAUGGGUUCCCUUCUGAGUCUGGUUCUGGGCUACCACGGGCCAUGUCGAUCGGGUGUCCGCACUAAGAUUGGUGUCAAUAUGGUGUUCCUAAGGGAGCUCUGGACUACCAGGUCACCUAAGGAGGGAUGAACCGACCCAGGUUGGGAAUGAAGCAGGUCAAAGCCCCUGUACCAAUCAGUAGUGGGAUAGUGCCUGUGAAUAGAUGUGGUAGUGCAGCCUGGGUGAUACAGUGAGUCUCUUACAUAAACAUUUCAUGAUCACAAUUUUUGCUAGAACAAUGCCAUAUAAGCAUAUCAAAUGCUACAUAAUGUGAAUAUACGCAUCACUUCUAAGAGCAGACAUUUUCACGUUUUUUUUUUCUUCACAAUAAUAUAUAUGGAACACAUGAUCCAAAUACAUUCAUUUCUUCUUCUUCUUUUUUUUUUUAAAGUCACCACCAUUUAAUAAAGCACUUUAUGAGAGACAAAGGGUUGCUCUUAUUAUUAAUAUAUAGGUUAGGUGCAAGAUUAAGAAUUCCAAUGUGCAGUGCAUGAGCAUGAUGCAAUGCUUUAAAAGUAACUCUAUAGUAUAAAUGUUUCAAUUCAUUAAGUGUUUUGAAUUCAGUUCCUAUUCCAUGACAAUCCCUUGUGCAUACCUUCAUUAAUAUGUCACCUAAUAGGUAUUAAAAGUCAUCAGAAUUAUAUUGUCGUAAAAAGUAAGCUUGGAAUAAAAUAAAACGUCUUAAAGACUUUAAUGUCUUAAAGAUUAUCUGACUUAGUGAACUACAACAUGUACUAAACAAAUAGGGUUUAUUUGGUCUGUUAUCAACAUACAGUGAAUCAGUGAAAAGCAAUUCAUACAAAAAGUGACUCAAUUACAAAAAUAUGGUUACCACAAAAACUUGUGGUUUAUACUAAAAGCAAUAUAUGCGGUAGGCUUUGCAUAGUGAAGUCUUUGAAAACACUAAUACACAACACAGCAGUAUUACAACAAGCAGCGUUCCUCAGAUAGCUGUACAAUAUGCUAUUAGCGUUGUUCUAUACAUUUGACUCCCAUUAUAAAGAUAACCGGGUCAUCUUGCUUCAUUUAAUACCCCAUAGCACUGCAUUCAACAACAGCCCAUCACUACAGAGUGUUCAAAGUAUUACACGCUCGUUUCCCCAUUUUUACAAUGAACUCUGUACGACGAAGCUCAUAGGAAGGCAGGUUCAGAUUGUUUUCCUUCAAGGCGCUGCAUCAAUCAGCAAAGACUCGUCUAAUCUAAACACAUAUUGAUCAAAUUAAUCUAACGUAAUAUGGUUGUUGCUAAACUAGGUGUGGUUCAUUUUAAAACGAUACAGUUCAUCUCUUUAAAUAGUGCUGAUGGUGUGAAAAGUAUUGAGCUAAUAGAAGAUGAAAUGCAGUAGUGGUAAAUAUUAAUGCUUAUAAACAAGUGAGUACUCUACAAACAUUACUGCAUAAAUUUUAUGUAUGUAACAACCAAUGACACUUUGCCAAAUUUCAAAUGCCUGAGAGAGCAAGUUGUUAUAAUAUGGCAAAAUAACUGCAUGAAUGUCCAUCUAGUUGGAUCUUAUUUGUCUGAUGGCAGAAGAAAUAAAUUCGGAUAUGAAAAUCAUAAUGGAUGACUGUUGCAUAAACCUCACUGGA
Pangasianodon hypophthalmus (striped catfish) is the source of this 2893-nucleotide long non-coding RNA. RefSeq lists it as uncharacterized. Lineage: Eukaryota; Metazoa; Chordata; Actinopteri; Siluriformes; Pangasiidae. The transcript has 6 exons. The record is from RefSeq and is a predicted model, not a curated record.